RNAcentral lists this ribosomal RNA (497 nucleotides) under uncultured bacterium. RNAcentral's name for it is "partial 16S ribosomal RNA". It matches the Rfam family "Bacterial small subunit ribosomal RNA", at positions 28 to 507 of the family's 1533-position model. The record is from RNAcentral.
GACGAACGCUGGCGGCGUGCCUAAUACAUGCAAGUAGAACGCUGAAGCUUGGUGCUUGCACCGAGCGGAUGAGUUGCGAACGGGUGAGUAACGCGUGGGUAACCUGCCUGGUAGCGGGGGAUAACUAUUGGAAACGAUAGCUAAUACCGCAUAAGAGUAGAUGUUGCAUGACAUUUGCUUAAAAGGUGCAAUUGCCUCACUACCAGAUGGACCUGCGUUGUAUUAGCUAGUUGGUGAGGUAACGGCUCACCCAGGCAACGAUACAUAGCCGACCUGAGUGGGUGAUCGGCCACACUGGGACUGGGACACGGCCCAGACUCCUACGGGAGGCAGCAGUAGGGAAUCUUCGGCAAUGGACGGAAGUCUGAACGAGCAACGCCGCGUGAGGGAAGAAGGGUUUCGGAUCGUAAAGCUCUGUUGUAAGAGAAGAACGAGUGUGAGAGUGGAAAGUUCACACUGUGACGGUAUCUUACCAGAAAGGGACGGCUAACUACGUG